This 21-nucleotide unclassified non-coding RNA is filed under the name Mus musculus (house mouse). Its description in RNAcentral is "oocyte_clustered_small_RNA13208". The record is from RNAcentral. Lineage: Eukaryota; Metazoa; Chordata; Mammalia; Rodentia; Muridae.
CUGCUGGAGAAAGAGUACUUC